UCACUAAACAAGUCUCCUUAGAGGAGAAAGUGUUACAUUAAGGACAAGAGAGAUGUACCAUUUGAUCAGCAAGCAUGAGGACGGACUUGAGAGAAAGUUUCCUGCUACAGAAAUUGAACAAGUCUUCAAGACUAGGUCCAAGUAAAUCCAUGACCAGAACAUUGUAGUCGCCUUCAACACCAAACCACUUGAGAUUUGGAACACCAGCUGCCAUGAUCAAAGGUUCAUUAGAGACUAAGGACAUAGUUAUAAAAAUAAAAAAUAAAGAAUCAAGAGAUGAGCUUUUACUUCCUCCCUGUAGAAGUCUGUAUAACUUGGAUUCAUAAAGCAGCUGUGGAUGUUUUGUCUUGGCAUUUUCCUGCAAAAACCUCAAAGAAUACUCUAGUCUUUGUCAUCGGCAUGGCGUACAGAAACGUUGGAUACUCAGCUUCUAAGCUCCGAACUUUCUGGUUCGUAUAAUCUCUGUAGUCCAUGAAAACCAUCUGCUCUGGAUCAUAUGGACUGUUUUCCACCUAAAAGUUUUCAAACAGAACAGUCCAAGAGAUUCAUAAUAGUUCCCUCCAGUAAUGAUUAUUAUUUACAGUGGAAUAUAUUAUUUUUCAUACUAUACCUCAACCUCCACGCCAUAUGCAGUUUGGACACAGACUCUAGGUCCUCCAAGUUCGUACUGCAAGAGCUUCCCUGAAGCUGCUCCAGACGCAACAGUGGCAAGGUAACAAAUAAACCCGGAAAAGUAAGAAAAUCAUACUAAAUUGACAUACAUUGUCCAUAGAUGUGAAAGAAACUUUGAAAAAUAAGUGAAAAUCAGACUAUUGUCCCACAUUAUCUUCAAUAUUGAUCUAAUUCAAGUAACUCUAGUAAAUGUUUUUAAAGCUCUAGCCAAUGUCAUCUAUAUAGUAAACAACAUACAUUGUACCACAUCAUCUUUAACAUUGAUCUAAUUCAAGUAACUUAUUAAAAUGUAUUUAAGCUCUAGCCAAUGUUCUCUUUAUAGUAAAGAACAAACGUUGUCUCUAUCUGCAAUUAAAAACCUUUCACAUGAUGUUAACUACACUAUUAUCUUCUGUAAAGAGAAAACAUUUUUACUAUUGCUAAAAGAUCCACAAUUACAACAUACAUAUACACACUGAUUCCAUUUCCAAACACUGAAUUUAAUGUAACUUCGUAGUAAAACAAAAAAAAAAACAAAGAAGAGUUACACGUAAAAAUGAGAAGAUUAAAAACAACACAAAAAAUACUGGUUUCUCUAAUAUAUAGAGUCGAAUCUUUAUAUGAUUAAUACAAACAUGACAUGUUUUUUCUCUUUCUAACCGAUAGAUCAAUGGUGGUGAUACCUUUCGUCAGAGACAUGGAGAGUCUCAAUGCCUUUAAUAGCAGAAUCAUACUGUUUCCUAGUGGAAGAAGAUCUCUUCCUCUCCGACGUUGAAACCAUCCCAGAGUUUCUCAAUCCACUGCCCGUACGGCUUCUCUGCAGCUCCUCAGACGUUACUCUCCUCGAUGAUCCUGCUGAUUGUCCGAACAGCGACGAGCUUGGCAUCUGUCAACAAUACAAAAAACAAAGUCAAUAAGCUUUUUUACUCUCCUUGUGAAAAAUAAGAAAAAUAGCAAUGUUUGAUACCAUUGGAGCUCUAACAGCAGCUGAUGAGUUCUCGAGAGCUCCUGAUGUUCUCCUUCUUGAUGAAUCCAUCGGUGGUCUCCCUCCAUCUUCCUCUAAACACAAAAAAAAAACAAUCAAAGCGUUAAAACAUCUUAUUGAACAAAAGUGCUCCUCUGAUUUUAAAGAUAUUCACCUCCGUAUCUAUCAGUGCUGGUCAAUCCUGGAGGCAAACCCGAACUGGUUCCAGCCGCAGGGCCACGUGUUGGAGGAGCUGUUAGCUGUGACUGUUGGUACUUCAGUAUGGUCCAGUCAAAGACAUAAUCGAAUUGAAACCCUGCGAUACAGAACGUGUAAGAAAGUGUGCAUCUUUUGAAGGAAAGAAAACAAAAGCUAUCAAGAACCUUCGCGGAUGAAGAGAUCUCUGAAUAUUCUUUUGAGAUAACCGUAAUCCGGUUUAUCAUCAAACCGGAGGGAGCGGCAGUAAUGGAAGUAAGAUGCGAAUUCAGAUGGGUAGCCACGGCAUAAGGACUGGAGGGAAGAUGAAACAAGUUUGUGUUAAUAAAGAAGAAGUAGAAGGAUCAAACUUUUGUGGUUGAGAGAGUUUACCUCAAUGGAUGUAGAGACUUUCUUUUCGCUGAUUCUCUCAUAUUUUUGUUUCUUGGUUCCAGCUUUAAGCCCUUGCCAUGGAAGACUGAGAAAAGAGAUUUAUAAUAAGGAAAUGUGGAGAAGGAAGUGAGACAAACGAGGCAUGUAAAUAGUACUCACCUUCCUUUAAGGAAAUACAUGAGAAUGUAACCAAGAGAUUCUAAGUCAUCCCUUCUGCUUUGUUCUAUAUGAUAGACAAAAGGUAUUAAUAAAGGACAGUGCAAGAGAAUCUGCAGAAGUUUAUUUGUAAAGCUUACCAAUUCCCAAGUGAGUGUUCAUACUAGCAUAUCUUGCAGUUCCAGUGAGAUUCUUGUUUUCUCUACAAUAUAGCAAAUGACAGCCGAGUUUAGAAUUAUGAGUAGGUAGAGGAAACGCAGAUUGAUUACAAGACAAUCAUCUCACCGGUAAGGAAUGUGCUGAUGAGUAGUGUUAUCUCUGUACUUCUUUGCAAGACCAAAGUCGAUGAUGUAUACCUUUAGAAACAUAUUAUAAGAGUAUCAUUUUCCGAGAUAACAAUUUCAAAAGUAAAGUGAGAACAGAAACAAACAUAUAGAUGAGAAGGGAACCUGGUUGGCGCGUCUCCCUAACCCCAUGAGGAAGUUGUCAGGCUUGAGAUCUCGGUGGAGGAAAGAUUUCGAAUGGAAAUACUCAACACGGUUUAUCUGAAUACAGUAAAAGAGUCGAUCACUAAACAAGUCUCCUUAGAGGAGAAAGUGUUACAUUAAGGACAAGAGAGAUGUACCAUUUGAUCAGCAAGCAUGAGGACGGACUUGAGAGAAAGUUUCCUGCUACAGAAAUUGAACAAGUCUUCAAGACUAGGUCCAAGUAAAUCCAUGACCAGAACAUUGUAGUCGCCUUCAACACCAAACCACUUGAGAUUUGGAACACCAG
RNAcentral lists this long non-coding RNA (3133 nucleotides) under Brassica napus (rape). Its description in RNAcentral is "long non-coding RNA (BNAP_LNC002152)". Lineage: Eukaryota; Viridiplantae; Streptophyta; Magnoliopsida; Brassicales; Brassicaceae. The record is from RNAcentral.